This 924-nucleotide ribosomal RNA is filed under the name uncultured bacterium. RNAcentral describes it as "bacterial SSU rRNA". It matches the Rfam family "Bacterial small subunit ribosomal RNA", at positions 33 to 963 of the family's 1533-position model. The record is from RNAcentral.
ACGCUGGCGGCGUGCUUAACACAUGCAAGUCGAACGAUGAAGCCUAGCUUGCUAGGUGGAUUAGUGGCGAACGGGUGAGUAAUACGUGAGUAACCUACCUUUAACUCUGGAUAAGCCUGGGAAACUGGGUCUAAUACCGGAUACGACCAAUCUCCGCAUGGGGUGUUGGUGGAAAGCGUUAUGUAGUGGUUAUAGAUGGGCUCACGGCCUAUCAGCUUGUUGGUGAGGUAACGGCUCACCAAGGCGACGACGGGUAGCCGGCCUGAGAGGGUGACCGGCCACACUGGGACUGAGACACGGCCCAGACUCCUACGGGAGGCAGCAGUGGGGAAUAUUGCACAAUGGGCGCAAGCCUGAUGCAGCGACGCCGCGUGAGGGAUGGCGGCCUUCGGGUUGUAAACCUCUGUUAGCAGGGAAGAGGAGAAAUUGACGGUACCUGCAGAGAAAGCGCCGGCUAACUACGUGCCAGCAGCCGCGGUAAUACGUAGGGCGCGAGCGUUGUCCGGAAUUAUUGGGCGUAAAGAGCUUGUAGGCGGUUUGUCGCGUCUGCUGUGAAAGGCCGGGGCUUAACCCCGUGUAUUGCAGUGGGUACGGGCAGACUAGAGUGCAGUAGGGGAGACUGGAACUCCUGGUGUAGCGGUGGAAUGCGCAGAUAUCAGGAAGAACACCGAUGGCGAAGGCAGGUCUCUGGGCUGUAACUGACGCUGAGAAGCGAAAGCAUGGGGAGCGAACAGGAUUAGAUACCCUGGUAGUCCAUGCCGUAAACGUUGGGCACUAGGUGUGGGGGACAUUCCACGUUUUCCGCGCCGUAGCUAACGCAUUAAGUGCCCCGCCUGGGGAGUACGGCCGCAAGGCUAAAACUCAAAGAAAUUGACGGGGGCCCGCACAAGCGGCGGAGCAUGCGGAUUAAUUCGAUGCAACGCG